GCUCAGGAUGAACGCUAGCUACAGGCUUAACACAUGCAAGUCGAGGGGCAGCAUGGUCUUAGCUUGCUAAGGCCGAUGGCGACCGGCGCACGGGUGAGUAACACGUAUCCAACCUGCCGUCUACUCUUGGACAGCCUUCUGAAAGGAAGAUUAAUACAAGAUGGCAUCAUGAGUCCACAUGUUCACAUGAUUAAAGGUAUUCCGGUAGACGAUGGGGAUGCGUUCCAUUAGAUAGUAGGCGGGGUAACGGCCCACCUAGUCUUCGAUGGAUAGGGGUUCUGAGAGGAAGGUCCCCCACAUUGGAACUGAGACACGGUCCAAACUCCUAUGGGAGGCAGCAGUGAGGAAUAUUGGUCAAUGGGCGAGAGCCUGAACCAGCCAAGUAGCGUGAAGGAUGACUGCCCUAUGGGUUGUAAACUUCUUUUAUAAAGGAAUAAAGUCGGGUAUGGAUACCCGUUUGCAUGUACUUUAUGAAUAAGGAUCGGCUAACUCCGUGCCAGCAGCCGCGGUAAUACGGAGGAUCCGAGCGUUAUCCGGAUUUAUUGGGUUUAAAGGGAGCGUAGAUGGAUGUUUAAGUCAGUUGUGAAAGUUUGCGGCUCAACCGUAAAAUUGCAGUUGAUACUGGAUAUCUUGAGUGCAGUUGAGGCAGGCGGAAUUCGUGGUGUAGCGGUGAAAUGCUUAGAUAUCACGAAGAACUCCAAUUGCGAAGGCAGCCUGCUA
This 720-nucleotide ribosomal RNA is filed under the name uncultured Bacteroidales bacterium. RNAcentral's name for it is "bacterial SSU rRNA". It matches the Rfam family "Bacterial small subunit ribosomal RNA", at positions 22 to 731 of the family's 1533-position model. The record is from RNAcentral. Lineage: Bacteria; Pseudomonadati; Bacteroidota; Bacteroidia; Bacteroidales.